GUCAUUUUUUAGCUCAUAAAGGUGAUGAUUGAGUCUUCACACGCACGUGUGAAAUGUGCCUCCCUCAAACACAGUUACAACAGCAACAUGUUACCCACCUGACA
This is a small nucleolar RNA of Otolemur garnettii (small-eared galago), 104 nucleotides long. The record is from Ensembl. Lineage: Eukaryota; Metazoa; Chordata; Mammalia; Primates; Galagidae.